CUCCGUCCCAAAAUAAGUGCAGCUAUGGGUUUUCGCGUUCAACUUUGACCGUUCGUCUUAUUUGAAUUUUUUUAAAAAAAACUUAAAAACAUAAGUCAGGAGUAAAGUACUACUCACGUUUUAUCAUCUCAUAACAACAAAAAUGCUAAUUAUAAAAAAAAUUAAAAUAAGACGAAUGAUCAAAGUUGAGCACGGAAACUCAUGGCUGCACUUAUUUUGGGACGGAGGUA
This 230-nucleotide microRNA precursor is filed under the name Oryza sativa (Asian cultivated rice). Its description in RNAcentral is "partial microRNA MIR433a-31 precursor". The stretch from base 12 to 216 matches the Rfam family "MIR812 microRNA precursor family". The record is from RNAcentral. Lineage: Eukaryota; Viridiplantae; Streptophyta; Magnoliopsida; Poales; Poaceae.